This 747-nucleotide ribosomal RNA is filed under the name Triticum aestivum (bread wheat). RNAcentral describes it as "partial small subunit ribosomal RNA". Lineage: Eukaryota; Viridiplantae; Streptophyta; Magnoliopsida; Poales; Poaceae. The record is from RNAcentral.
AUGGAAGAAGGAAUUGAUGAAACUGUGAGCUCAUUGGAUGAAAAAGAUGAUGAGGCGAGAGAAGAACAAAAGGAGGAAGAGCGGAUUAGCUACCCAUGCCCACCUUCUAAUGAGAGUAACUCUUCAACUCAUACAUUGUUUAAUGUCCCUUCAUUCUUACCAAAGGCUGAAUGCUAUGAUAAUUGCUAUGAUCCCGUUGAUUCAUUUGAAAUAUUCCUUUUUGAUGAUGCUUGCUAUGCUUGUGGCCAAGAUGCCAAUAUGAAUUAUGCUAUUGGAGAUGAACUUGCUAUUGUUCCUUAUGUUAAACAUGAAAUUGUUGCUAUUGCACCCACACAUGAAAGUCCUAUUAUCUUUUUGAAUUCUUCAAACUACACUAUAUCAAAGAAGUUUGUUCUUAUUAAGGAUUAUAUUGAUGGGUUGCCUUUUACCGUUGCACAUGGUAAUUUUGAUGAAUGUAAUAUGCAUGUGCUUGCUGCUCCUACUUGCAAUUAUUAUGAGAGAGGAACUACAUCCCCACCUCUCUAUGUUUCCAACACGAAAAAAUUGCAAGAAAAUACUGAUGUUAUGUAUUGGCCUUUACUUGAUGUGCAUGAAUUGUUCUUGUAUGACAUGCCGAUGCAUAUGAAGAGAGUUAGACUUCGUCAUUGCAUGAAAUAUGUUUCUUUGUGCUCACUACUAAAUGCCAAAUUAUUGUUAAUUAAAAUUGGCUUUGAUAUACCUUGGGAUCCGGAUGGAUUCAUUACUUGA